GGGCGCUGUGGGAGUGGAGAAGCUGCAAGUGCUGAGGCGCGGUGGAGGAAAGCAUGGGAGCCAAGAGUAUGAGGAGCUGGUGUCUGUGUCAGAUUUGUAGCUGCGGCCCCUGAGACUCCCAAUCAAGGAUGCAAAGUAAAAUGCCACCCGGGCCAGCUUUCUGUCCUCCCAGCCAGACCAUAUUCCCAUUCCCGUCCAGGCAGCAGUUCUUUGGGAUCCGCCUGACUGAAAAGUCAACCAGGACUGACAAGGGAGCCACUGCCUCUGCCAUAAUCAGAAAAUUGCAACAGAGCUGUAGACUCCAGAAUCACUCGUCUCUUCCAAGGUCAAGAAGCUGCCAAGUUAGGAAACCAGCUUGCAAAUCAAGAUGCCGCCUAACAACUUCUAGCUCCGAUCUCUUGUUGCCUCUAUUAUGUUCCAUGCAAGCAAAAUUAAUGUUGUGCCU
This 445-nucleotide small RNA is filed under the name Pan troglodytes (chimpanzee). RNAcentral describes it as "processed transcript". The record is from RNAcentral. Lineage: Eukaryota; Metazoa; Chordata; Mammalia; Primates; Hominidae.